GGGGAAUUUUGGACAAUGGGGGCAACCCUGAUCCAGCCAUGCCGCGUGCGGGAAGAAGGCCUUCGGGUUGUAAACCGCUUUUAGUCGGGAAGAAAAGGCGCGGGUGAAUACCCCGCGUUUUUGACGGUACCGGCGGAAUACGCACCGGCUAACUACGUGCCAGCAGCCGCGGUAAUACGUAGGCAGCAAGCGUUGUUCGGAGUUACUGGGCGUAAAGAGUGCGUAGGCGGUUUUCUAAGUUUGGUGUGAAAUCUCCCGGCUUAACUGGGAGGGUGCGCCGAAAACUGGAAGGCUUGAGGAUGGGAGAGGCAUGCGGAAUUCCUGGUGUAGCGGUGAAAUGCGUAGAUAUCAGGAGGAACACCUGCGGUGUAGACAGCAUGCUGGACCAUUUCUGACGCUGAGGCACGAAAGCGUGGGUAGCAAAC
RNAcentral lists this ribosomal RNA (425 nucleotides) under uncultured bacterium. Its description in RNAcentral is "bacterial SSU rRNA". It matches the Rfam family "Bacterial small subunit ribosomal RNA", at positions 356 to 773 of the family's 1533-position model. The record is from RNAcentral.